CUUACUGUCUGAUCGACGAAAUUAAAGUGACGAGUCUAUACGUUAGGACCAGGUGGGCAUCAUGUGGGCCAGUAGCCUGGGAGAGUUGCUCCGGAUACCACAGCCACAGAGGCGGACCCAGUCUCCCAAUCAGUCCCGAGGCUGUUUGCAGUUACCGGCAUGCGCUGCAGAGAGCGAGCCCCGCAGGUGGCACUGGACUCCUGGAGCUUGAGUCUUUGACUUGCAGGUUGGAGUUGGCAUCCACCUAAGUCCAGGGGAAGGGGAAUCCUCGUCCACCUUUCUCUUCCCUUGCCAGAGCAGGGCACGUCCCCUCUGCAGGCAGCACACAGGAUCUGUAGGAAAUCAUGUUGUGUUCAAGCUGUUUUUCUGUAGUACUUGUUCUUUUUAGAUGAGUCUUGGCCACUUCAGUGAUGACUUGGAAGGCUGUUUGGUGGGGAGAUCUUGAUUUUAUGAGGAUCUUGCAUUUUUCUAGAGAAUUUUAUAGUCGUGUGUUUUUAUGCCAUGGUCUCCAUUAGGGGACACAGCAAAACUGGCUUUGGAUCAGAAACCAUCAUUUCUAAAUGUUUAAAAAGAAGAAAAGUUCCUACUGGUGAUGCCUGUCUGACUAGUUUGGUAAUAAGUAAGAAGCAAUGAAGUUCUGAAGCUUUUCUCUUGAUGACCAUGAUCACUGAAAAUGGAAGGAAUCCAGAUUAUCUCAGUGUUUGGUGUGAUCGACAACACCAGUGUUUUGCGUCUGUGAUGUUUGUGUUGUGUGUAAGGAUGAAUUGUCUCCUGGAUAAGGGGAGAAGGGGGAGCACCAAGCUAAAAUUUUGUUUGCCAAAUCAGAUUCUUUGGUCAAUAAUGGUUUAUGAGCUGGGCACAGUGGCACAUACCGAUGGUCCCAGCUACUGGGGAAGCUGAAGCAGGAGAAUCCCCUAAUCCCAAAGUUUAAGGCCAUCCUGGGCAACAAGGUGAGACCCUGCCUCAAAAAAAGAGAAAAAGAAGUUUGGGUUUGGGUAGAAUCAUAUCAGGAAAAUUAUAGGACCCCAGGUGGCAGGGUUCCAGUUGUGGCCUUAGUCUUCUGGCAUCAUGAAGGGACCAUUCCCUCAUGGAGGGGGCCACUGGCUUGGCUUCUGGGUCUUUGGUGAUAUCUGCCCUUGUUUCUUCAGCACUGUCCUCAACUUCUAGCUACACGUGGGGACAGUGAAUCAUAGAUAGGACACCAGUUCGCCCUUUAUCUCCUGUUGAAUGCAGUGGUUCCCCAUUCCGAGAGGAAGUAACACUGUUUCUGCUGCACUCGGGGUUUGGUUUUGUUUUGUUUUCUGCUUUUGAUAAUUGCAAUUUUGUAUUGAAGGGUUUGGUUUUCAUCUGCUUAUGAAUGGGCCACUUUGCUCCUUGCCGAAGUUACUCAUCAGAAGCCUCAGGAGAAUCCCCGUUUGUCCGUCUGUUGUUCAUUGCUUAAUAGUAUUUUGAUCCCAGGUUUUGAGACAAUUGCUGGGUAAAAUAGGAAGACACAAUCCUGACGGUGUUAUUUAUGAAAAGAUCUUGCUGAGUGCCUUCACCAGAAGCUGUGGAUCUGCGGUUGAAUUGUUCUCACUGGUGAAUGCAGUUUUGCAUUGCAAAGGUGUAUGGUGGUAGUUUAUGAUUAUAGUUAAGUGAUUCCUCAAACAUAUCAUUGAACUCCAAAAUGAAUUAUGCCUCUCUUUGGGUUUAAUGAAAUUUCUGAUGUUACUGAAAUUUGCCUAUUAACAUGUUUUCCUUUUCCAAAGCAAGACAUGCUGGUGAGAGGAAAUGACUGUCUAGUUUUAUUAUGGUUUAUAAAUUAAUAAAUGGGAUAUUUAAUUCUGUACAUUAACGUACAGCAAGUCCAUACACUGGAAUGAAUGCGACAAUCAUGUUAGAGCAACUUGUCAGGUUAAAAGUCAACGCUUUCAAGUCUUGAAGGUUCCAGCUUGACACUGGGUCUUUUUGAGGCCUGUGCCCUGGCCUGCUGCCCCCUCCUCCUCGUGUGGGCAGCUCUGCUCUCGUCACCCUCAUUGAUGGGGUUGUAGUGCCUCACGCCUCUGUGACGUGGUCUGGCCGAUGACAGUAACUCCUACCCAACUCCUUCAUUUUACAGAAGGAGAAACAGGCUUAGAGGGCAUUUUUGAGUAGUGUUUGUUCACUGUUGUGACUUGGUAUGAAAUUUUUAUGCACCUUAUUUUAAGUCAUUCGUUUUGGGGAAAACCAGACCCUUAUGACAAAGGAGAUAAGCCAAAUAACAUUCGAAUGAGGAAGGACUUAAGUUUUUGAAUUUUGCUGUGUAUCUAGUCUACACCAUGUAUCAGACCCUUUAUUACCUCUGGAACAUAACCAGACCUGAAUACCUUAAGGUCUUACAGCCUUAAGAAUCCAGAACAUUAAUUUAUUAAAAGACCUGAAAAUUCCUAGUAUUUUUUUUUUUAAAUUAUCACCUGUUUGCAAGACUUCGAUGCUAUCGACUGUUCUGUGGGAAUAAUUGUAUAUUCAUGAUGGCAUUUACCAAAAAUAAAUGAUGGUCUCCAGGGAAUUGAGAUUGGUCCCAGUUUGUGAGUGAGGGUCUCAGAUUUGAGUGACCCUGUGUUCAGCAUGCCCAGCAACAAAAUGUACAAGAGAUCCACAACUGAGGUGGCUUUGGUCCUCCCGUCUCGAUGUAUUCACCUAUUUUUCCCCCUCUGGGCCAGAAACUAGGAUGUGAUUUGUGGGUUUUCAAGGAGGUAGGAGAGACUCGGGAAAUCCAGGCCCAUUGUGGUGGCUGUGCUAUAGCUCAUACUGAGGUCCUACUAUGUGCCCGAUGCAGUGGUGGGCUUUUUGCACAGUCCUGGUGUGUUUUGUGGACCUGGAGGCAUUGUAAGCACACUGAGCCACACCCUCGGCCCUGUUGUUUCAUUAAUCUUGUUCUAUAGAUGAAAAUGAGGCCCCAAGAGGCCGGGUCACUUGUCUGGGGCCAUAUAGCUGCCUGUCUGACUCCAAAGCCCGUUUUCCCAUGUUGCUCAAACCACCCCUGCCAGAGACUGUCCUCCGAGCCCAGCUGAGGAAGACAUGAGCAUGCCACAGUGGCGUGCAGCGUCUCAGUGCAUGACCGCCUUGUUCAAUGAUUUACUAAGCACUUAAUGUGUGCCAAGUAACAGGAACUGAUACGUGUAAGGCUGCCACCCAGAAAGCUCCCGCCUUCAUCUGCAGAUGUGUAACUAGAGAGCACAAGAAGCGGUGUCAGAGGGACGCAAAAAAUGCCAAAGAGUGCAGGGUGGUCAUUUCGGCAGCACGAUGGGGAAUUGGAGUGUUUUAUUUGACUUGUGUUUACAAUCAUUUUAUUAGAUGCCAGGAGAGCGAGAUUACACCAAUCAUACAAAGUGGAAAAUGGAAAUAGUUGUUCAGCCCACAGGACAACCUGGGCCCCAGGGGGGGAGACCUGUCCCAAACCUAGGGCCUUUUGCCCUGCACCGCUGCCAUGGGAGAGCCUUUUGAUUUUCCUCAGUUUUAUCACACAAGAGUUUGUGCCAUCAAAGGAGUAGCCUUUCAUGUCACCUGACAGGACUUUGCUGCUGGUUAGACCCUCCAGCCCAUAGAAGGACAACCCGAAUGGCUUUGCAGUUUAUUGCUGUGAUUGUAACAGGUUUCCGAGUCCUUGCAUCAGGACUGGGUCACUGCUGUACAAAUCUAGGCCUGGUGUGCAGGGUCAGGAUUAAAAGUGGCCCUGUGAAGACCCAGCCAAACAGUAGAGUCCAAACUCCCAUGUGGGAAUGCCUUCUCCCAGAGUCUCAUUUACCUCCUUAAGGCAGAAGUUUGCUGGUGAUGUGGACACAAUCAGGUCCGGGCCAAUGUCCCCUAGAACCAGCCUCUCUUCCCUGGGCAGGGCAGGACCUAAACCAUUCCUCCUGUUGCAGCUUUCAGCUAGCUGACCAUAUGUGGCUCAGUAACUGCAGAAUGCAAGGUCACAGUCACACCAAACUUUUGCGUGACUGAGCCCACCAGUAUGGAUGGGCCUGUAUGUUCUCAGUCACCCACUACAUAUUCCAUAACUUAUAGCUUAAAUAUAUUUUUUAAGUUUAAAAAUCUGUCAAAGCAAAAAUAAAUUACCUAUAUGCAGGCAUUUAAAUGAAGGAGGUAGCUGGGCACACUGGCUCACACCUGUAAUCUCAAUGACUCUGGAGGCUAAGGCAGGAGUCCAAACCACAAGUUUGAGGCCAGUCUGGACAUUUAUGGCUGAGAGGCAGAGUGCCCCUUGGUUCAAUCCCUAGCACCACAAAUAAAUAAAUAAAUAAAUAAUAAAGAGGUACAUCCUGUACAGAGGGAAUAAUUAUUCCUAAAUAUACCAGUGAGUAAAAUACAUGAAGGCUGGGACUGUAGCUCAGUAGUAGAGCACUUGCCUAGCAUUUGUGAGGUCCUGGGUUUGAUCCUCAGCACAUAAAAAAUAAAUAGAAUAAAGGUAUUGUAGAAAAAAAUUAUUAAGGAAAAUAUACAAAUGUGCUUUGUUAAUACACAGUUUCUCUCUGAAGAGAUCCACAAGAGAUUAGAUUAUAGCAGUUAGCUCUGUGGUGGAUAAUUACAGAUGGUUUUUUUUUUUUCUCAAAACUAUGCAAAUUACUUUGUAAUGGCCUUAGAAAAAGAAUAUGCCAAAAAUAUUUUCUUGUGUUAUCAAAUAUUCUCCCUUGAUUUUGUGUCUGUGUACAUGAUACCAUAAUUAGAAGGACGUGCUACAAUUAACCAAUCCCUAGGGCUGAAUGUUUAAAAUUUUGCCAUUUUAUGGAAUAAGUUUGCAGUGAACAGUGUAGCACAUCCUUCUAAUUUAGGAUAAAUUCUCAAGACUUGUUUGCAUAUGGUUUUAAACUUGUUUCCAUUUUGCUUCUCAGUGUUCUUAGUCCGUUUUCUAUUGCUGUAACAAAAUACCUGACACAGAAUAAUUUUUACACAGAAUAGUUUAUUUGGCUAACAGUUUUGGAGUGGGAAGUCCAAGAACAUGAAGCUGAAGUCUGCUGAGAACUCUCUUGCUGCAUCAUCCGAUGGUAAAGGGCAUCGCAUGACAACAUUGAGCAAGUGUGCAUCAGCUCAGAUCUCUCAUAAAGCCCACCAAAAGGGCCCCUCCCUCAACUCAUCUAACCCUAAUUAGGUCCCAAAGGUCUCACUUCCAAAUACCAUCAACCCAGACAUGGGGAUCAUCUCAGGGGUAUACAUUUCACAAAAAUCGUUUUACUUAAAGAGUCUUGCUAGAGCCGGUGGUACACACUUGUAAUCCCAGCAACUCAGGAAGCGGAAGCAGGAGAAUUGCAAGUUUGAGGCCAGCCUGAGUAACUUAGCAAGACCCUUACAAUAAAAAGACUGGGAAAGCUCAAUAAUAAGAUGUCCCUGGAUUAAAAAAAAAAAAAAAAGUCUUUCAGUUUCUAGGAGAUAUUAUUGGAGAAUAUCUCUGCAGCAGUCUGAACUAUUUAUACUGUUUCUUCUAACCAGUGGAUUCUGGUUUGGCCUUUUCAAAGGCGCUUGGGAGAGACCCCUGCGGUGCUCAUUUUUUCAGUCUCAGAUAAAUGGUAUUUUAAUCUGAAAUGAUCAUAUGAAAGCAGGUGCACAGGUCUUUCCAGACAGCAGGUGAGCAGUGUCAGUACUGCACUGCAGGGUCCUUCACUCAGCACAGCAUCAAUGAGCAUUGACAUUUUGUAAUAGUAUACUGAAGCCAGGCGAGGUGGCGCAUGCCUGUCAUCCCAGUAGCUCCGCUCGUGAGGCUGAGGCUGAGGCAGGAGGAUCGUGAGUUCAAAGCUAGCCUCAGCAACAGCGAGGUGCUAAGCAACUGAGUGAGACCCUGACUCUAAAAAAAAUACAAAAUAGGACCAGGGAUAUGGCUCAGUGGUACUGUGACCCUGAGUUCAAUCCCUGGUACCAAAAAAAAAAAAAGUAGCCUGAAAGUGGAACUAACCAAAGACUCCUUAAUACACAUUCACUAACCUUUUUUUUUUUUUUUUUUUUUGAUACCAGGGAUUAAAGCUAGGACACCUAAACCACUGAGCCACACCCCCAGCCCUUUUUUAAUUUUGAAACAGGGUCUUUCUAAGUGCUGAGACUGGCUCCUCCUGCCUCAGCAUCCCAAGCCACUGGGAUUACAGACAUGCACCACCAUGCCUGGCUCAUUAACCUUUCUUCCCCACUCCCAUCUAUUUAUUUAUUUAUUCAUGUAGGGAAUUGAACCUAGGGCCCCUCAUCUGCGAGCCAAGCACUGUAUCACUAAGCUACAUCCCCAGUCCUUUUCAUCUUAUUUUUAGACAGGAUCUUGCUAAAAUGCCCAGGCUAGCCUUGAACUUAAAAUCCUCCUGCCUCAGCCUCCCAAGUAGCUGGCAUUACAGGCAAUGCAUCACCAUGCCCAGCUUUAAAGAUUCUUAACUGGCUCUCCUGAGAUAUUGGGGUUGGAGGGCCCAUGAUGGGGCAAGCAUGUAGGCCUAUAGUCCCAACUACUGGGAGGCUGAGGCAGGAGGAGAGCUUGAGCUCAAAGAUUCCUAGACUAAGGCUGGGGUUGUGGCUCAGUGGUAGAACGCUUGCCUUGCACAUGUGGGGCACUGGGUUCAAUCCUCACCACAUACAAAUAAAUAAAUAAAGGUAUUGUGUCCAUCUACAACUAAAAAUUUUUUUAAAAAAAUUAUACACUAGCUUGGAUAAUAGAGACCCCAUCUCAAAAAAUCAAAUGAACAAGACCCUGAUAAAUGUUGUAUAUCUUCAGCCUACAAAAAUACAUACAUAUAUAGUAUUUUAUCAACUCUAUUAGUUCAUGGUUCUCUGAAGUCCAUCCAUAUGGAUUUUUUUUUUUUAGGGAGAGAAUUUUUUAAUACUUAUUUUUUAGUUUUCGGUGGACACAACAUCUUUAUUUUUAUGUGGUGCUGAGGAUCGAAUCCAGCGCCCCGCACAUGCCAGGCGAGUGCGCUACUGCUUGAACCACAUCCCCAGCCCUAGAUCUCUUAAUAUAGAUCCUGACUGGCAAGAUCCAGACUACCAAUCCUUACAUAAACGUAAAAUCCCAUGCCUACCCUUCCGCCUGAAACAGUCACAAAGCUGGCUCAUUGUACAGUUCUCAGUGCAAAACCUCACUUCAGAAGAGCAGUUCAUGGUAAUCCUACUGAAACAGAGACCCUUUGAACUUAAAGGCUGAAUUGUUUUAGCUCCCUAACUUCCUCAUGCUGAGAAUGGAAACUUUACCCCACGUCCCUGGCAGUGGUCAAGAAAGCUGAAAAUGAAAUGUCCUCUAGUUAGUAUAGCCUAGCAAAUAAAUAAAUUAUACACACCCACACACAUACAUAUGUAUCCAUGUGUGUGUGUGUAUAUAUAUAUAUCCUGACUUCUGUUCCUACAAAUUGUAACUGCUUCCCUAAGACCAAGGGCAGUUUGAUCAAACUAUUAAAUUCUUUUUUCUUUAUACUGUUUGCUUAUUUCUUAUACAGGAGGACAGCAGAAUCCAGCCAGCCAGGAUACAAACAGGCUCUGUAGCUUGCAGGGUAGACUCCACUCUCCCACGUUCUGGUUAGAGCACCUUGUCUUCUCCCUAAUAUUACAUAAUAUAUUCAUUUAUUGAUUUAUGCUCUUCCCCCAUGGACUCCCUUAGAGCAGAGCUGAGGUCUGACUUGUUCCAGCUGUUAUCUAUAAGCCACUCUAUCCAGUCACCAGUUUUUGAGAGCCAACAAUGGUGAACAUUUGCACUGACAGGAAAAACAAACCUGGAACCCAAAUUAAACAAAAUGUUAUCCCCAGAAAAGAACUCCACUAUUCUCAUGAGUAUACGCUUACUUUUAAAAAAUUACACUCAAUUAUCGUUUGAAUUUCAUAAAUAAAAUUUUUCUAGAUAUUUCUCUCUGGUUAUAUAAGUAUCUAAAUAAGAUCCUUCACCAUCCCUCUCAGCCCGCAGAGCCUAAAAUAUUUGCUUUCUGGGCAUUAAAAAGUUUGCGGACCCCUGCCCUAGAGCAAUACUUGACAUACAACAGGCAAUCCGUUGGAGAGUUUUGCAACAGCAACAAAAAGAACCUAAAAUACGUAUGUAUCCACUUGUAUAGAAAAACCACGGAGGUAUAGCUGGCCAUGCGUUAACAAAAUGGGAACAUUAAAAGGGUCAGGGUUAAAGAAGAUAGCCACACAAUCGAUGUUCGCUAUUGAUUGCUACUUCAGGUUAUCUUGCCCCACAAUUUUCACGUUGCCUUCAUAAUCAUUUCAGAAGCGACGAAAGUGCACCUUUUAAGAACCCACUGGGCUCGCAGUCUGCGGCCGGUGUUGAGGGGAGAAGGGUUACCCCAGCCAAAGUCUUCCUUACCAAAGCGAAGAGUCGAGAGGAGGACACCUAAAUAAAGCCUGCUGCAAUCUCCGCCAGGAGAAUGUGAGGGCGCCGAGCCCCGCAGCCUCCGGACGCACACCUCGUAGUCUCAACGAGCCUGCGAGGAGGAAACAGAGGCCCUGUCCCGAGUAGAAACUCCCUAGACUCUUGAUCCCGCGGAAACAGCGACCAGCCAGCACCUCUAUCCGCGACACAGUGCUGCACGGACGCCCAGGUCCCGCGCGCCGCUCACCUACUGCCCUGAAACGCGCGCCA
Molecule: long non-coding RNA, 8551 nt
Filed under: Marmota monax (woodchuck)
Lineage: Eukaryota; Metazoa; Chordata; Mammalia; Rodentia; Sciuridae
Source: RNAcentral